CCCAAGCCCAAUCACUAAGUUGCCAUAGC
RNAcentral lists this non-coding RNA (29 nucleotides) under Homo sapiens (human). Lineage: Eukaryota; Metazoa; Chordata; Mammalia; Primates; Hominidae. The record is from RNAcentral.